GUUUUAAAAAUUAACUCAAGAAAAACCAUAGAUUCCCUUUUUUAAUUUUAACCUAAUAGAAAGUGACUUUAUGUCCUUUCUCAAUCUACUCAUGAAAUCAUGCCUUAUAUGUUAGUCAUCCUAUGAAAAAGUUUCAAAUUUCUACUCCCAUUUUAAGCCAUAAAGCCCAAGGUUUUUGUCUUAAAGAACUUGCUAGAAUCCAACUGCUAAGCUUAUAAGCCUACAUUUUCUUUCCAAGUAAAAG
RNAcentral lists this long non-coding RNA (244 nucleotides) under Vitis vinifera (wine grape). Its description in RNAcentral is "long non-coding RNA (VVIN_LNC007255)". Lineage: Eukaryota; Viridiplantae; Streptophyta; Magnoliopsida; Vitales; Vitaceae. The record is from RNAcentral.